This 591-nucleotide ribosomal RNA is filed under the name uncultured bacterium. RNAcentral describes it as "bacterial SSU rRNA". It matches the Rfam family "Bacterial small subunit ribosomal RNA", at positions 57 to 693 of the family's 1533-position model. The record is from RNAcentral.
GCAAGUCGAACGGGCUCUUCGGAGCUAGUGGCGGACGGGUGAGUAACGCGUGAGAAUCUGCCUUCAGGUCUGGGACAACAGAAGGAAACUUCUGCUAAUCCCGGAUGAGCCCUUGGGUAAAAGAUAAAUUGCCUGGAGAUGAGCUCGCGUCUGAUUAGCUAGUUGGUGUGAUAAAAGCAUACCAAGGCGACGAUCAGUAGCUGGUCUGAGAGGAUGAGCAGCCACACUGGGACUGAGACACGGCCCAGACUCCUACGGGAGGCAGCAGUGGGGAAUUUUCCGCAAUGGGCGAAAGCCUGACGGAGCAAGACCGCGUGGGGGAGGAAAGCUCUAGGGUUGUAAACCCCUUUUCUUUGGGAAGAAGUACUGACGGUACCAAAGGAAUCAGCCUCGGCUAACUCCGUGCCAGCAGCCGCGGUAAUACGGAGGAGGCAAGCGUUAUCCGGAAUGAUUGGGCGUAAAGCGUCCGCAGGUGGCCAUGUAAGUCUGCUGUCAAAACCCAGGGCUUAACUCUGGUCAGGCAGUGGAAACUACAAAGCUAGAGUUCGGUAGGGGCAAAGGGAAUUCCCGGUGUAGCGGUGAAAUGCGUAG